AGAUGUGAGAGUAAUCUGGUGGCAACAUCCAUGGUCCCAUUCUCACUAGGGUUGAUUUUACGGGUCUGGGUGGCCGGGGGUAGAGGAGAGGUCCCCUUUCUCCCUCUGUUCGCUGUGCAUCCGUCCUGCAGCUGCACCCUCUGAGGGCAAGGAGGAUCUUCCUGGAUAGGUGAGGACCUUUUUCCAGUCAAGGAUGAGUACUGUGCUCCCUGACAGAGUCUCCAAACAGCUGUAAGGUUAGUGUUAUGGUUUGUGUCUGGGUGUCCCCCCAAAGCCUCAU
This 280-nucleotide small nuclear RNA is filed under the name Chinchilla lanigera (long-tailed chinchilla). RNAcentral's name for it is "7SK RNA (ENSCLAG00000021821.1)". It matches the Rfam family "7SK RNA", at positions 1 to 287 of the family's 331-position model. Rfam says of the family: 7SK was discovered as an abundant small nuclear RNA in the mid-70s but a possible function has only recently been suggested. The record is from RNAcentral. Lineage: Eukaryota; Metazoa; Chordata; Mammalia; Rodentia; Chinchillidae.